This 158-nucleotide small nuclear RNA is filed under the name Zalophus californianus (California sea lion). RNAcentral's name for it is "U2 spliceosomal RNA (ENSZCAG00015011564.1)". It matches the Rfam family "U2 spliceosomal RNA". From Rfam's summary of the family: U2 is a small nuclear RNA (snRNA) component of the spliceosome (involved in pre-mRNA splicing). Complementary binding between U2 snRNA (in an area lying towards the 5' end but 3' to hairpin I) and the branchpoint sequence (BPS) of the intron results the bulging out of an unpaired adenosine, on the BPS, which initiates a nucleophilic attack at the intronic 5' splice site, thus starting the first of two transesterification reactions that mediate splicing. Lineage: Eukaryota; Metazoa; Chordata; Mammalia; Carnivora; Otariidae. The record is from RNAcentral.
AUCGCUUCUUGGCCUUUUGGCUAAGAUCAAGUGUCGUAUCUGUUUUUAUCAGCAAUUUAAAAAUGAGCAAACUUAAGAGAGCUCAUGAACUUAACUAGUAAGAGUGCUAUACUUCACAAUGGGAAUAUUUUCUAUCUACUUAAUUUUAUGCACAUUUU